Long non-coding RNA from Portunus trituberculatus (swimming crab), 401 nucleotides. RefSeq lists it as uncharacterized. The record is from RefSeq and is a predicted model, not a curated record. The transcript is spliced from 3 exons. NCBI's taxonomy places the organism in Eukaryota, Metazoa, Arthropoda, Malacostraca, Decapoda, Portunidae.
CCACGCCACGAGCCAGUGUCCUCUGGUGUGUUGUGGGGUGACGUAAAUUCGUGUCGGAUUCUUCACCAUCUCUAAGACUUAUUUACGAUCAAGGUGAAACUGGACUACCGGAGCGACACAAGAUGCCUGUUGGGACAAAGCGGUGUGAGUAGAGAUGAUGGUGGCGGUAUUUGGCAAUGCAACAAUGUAGGCCCUGCCGCCCUGCCGACGCCUGGCCCGGUUAUGGAGGCCACCACGGGUUCCUUCAUCUCAAACUACCAUGUCUGUGUCAAACCCACACGUCCGCCCAGGCGCCAGGACGUUCCCUCUUUAAUGACCAUAGCACACACACCACCACCACCGCCACAACUGCCUCCACCGCCACCACCACCACCGCCACAACUGCCCCCACCGCCACCACC